AUCUACCUAGUAGUAUGGAAUAGCCAUUAGAAAUGAUGGGUAAUACUGUAUAAUCCCUGCGGGGGAAAGAUUUAUCGCUAUUAGAUGAGCCUACGUUAGAUUAGCUAGUUGGUAAGGUAAUGGCUUACCAAGGCUAUGAUCUAUAGCUGGUCUGAGAGGACGAUCAGCCACACUGGAACUGAGAUACGGUCCAGACUCCUACGGGAGGCAGCAGUGGGGAAUAUUGGACAAUGGGCGAAAGCCUGAUCCAGCUAUGCCGCGUGAGUGAAGAAGGCCUUCGGGUUGUAAAACUCUUUCAAUAGGGAAGAUAAUGACGGUACCUAUA
This 325-nucleotide ribosomal RNA is filed under the name Ehrlichia chaffeensis. Its description in RNAcentral is "bacterial SSU rRNA". It matches the Rfam family "Bacterial small subunit ribosomal RNA", at positions 124 to 483 of the family's 1533-position model. The record is from RNAcentral. Lineage: Bacteria; Pseudomonadati; Pseudomonadota; Alphaproteobacteria; Rickettsiales; Anaplasmataceae.